UUCCACCGCGGGGUUGUAGGGCCCCCGAGGAGUUACAAACAACAGGUUAGCGGAACGAUCUGGAAAGGUCGUCCACAGAGGGUGACAGGCCCGUACGCGAAAACCGAGUUGCUCCGUUGAGGGGGUACCCUGAGUAGGUCGAGCCACGUGGAAUCUCGACUGAAUCGACGGGGACCAUCCCGUAAGGCUAAAUACUCCCUGAUGACCGAUAGUGAACUAGUAGCGCGAGCGAAAGUUGAGAAGAACCCCUGCUAGGGGAGGAAUGUGAACCUGAAACCAUGUGCCUACAAGCGGUCGGAGCACUAUGGCUGGCAACAGCAAUGUGUGACGGCGUGCCUUUUGCAUAAUGAUCCGGCGAGUUACCGUCAGCGGCUCGGUUAAGGCCCUCAGGGCCGUAGCCACAGGGAAACCGAGUCUGAACAGGGCGACAAUUGGUCGCUGGUGGUAGACGCGAAACUGCACGAACUACCCAUGAGCAGGUUGAACCGCGGGUCAAACCGCGUGGAGGACCGAACCCACUUGGGUUGAAAACCGAGGGGAUGACUUGUGGGGAGGAGUGAAAGUCUAAUCAAGCGCAGAGAUAGCUCGUUCUCUCCGAAAUAGCUUUAGGGCUAGCCUCGGAACAUUGCACGGCGGGGGUAGAGAGACUGAAUCGGAGGAGGGCCAUACCCUGGUACCUUCCUGAACCAAACUCCGAAUACCGUUCGUGUGUACUCCGGGAGUCAGUCCGCGAGGGAUAAGCUUCGCGGUCAAAAGGGAAACAACCCAGACCAACUGCUAAGGUCCCCAAGCAGAACUCAGUCACUAAGGAAGUGGAGUUGCUAAGACAGCCAGGAUGUUGGCUUAGAAGCAGCCAUCAUUUAAAAAGUGCGUAACAGCUUACUGGUCGAGCAAUUCCGCGCCGAUAAUGAACGGGAGUAAGUUCUGCACCGAAGCAUUGGAAUCCACGCAAGUGGAUUGGUAGGAGAGCGCUGUACGUCAGAUACAAGUCGCACCGUAAGGAGCGAUGUCGGGGCGUACAGGUGAUUAUGCCGGAAUGAGUAACGAUAAAGCAGGUGAGAAUCCUGCUCGCCGAAAGCCUAAGGUUUCCUGGGGAAGGUAAAUCCGCCCAGGGUUAGCCGGUACCUUAGUCGAGGCCGAAAGGCGUAGACGAUGGACAGCAGGUCAACAUUCCUGCGCCACAUGCUGGACCGAUGGAGGGACGGCGUCUGGAAGGUGAGGGGACGGAUAGAAAUGUCCCUCGCCGGUGUGGAAGGUAGCCGUAGGAAAAUCCGCGGCGACAUCCCGAAGCACCGGACAAAGACGCUUAUGUUUCGAUAGUCAUCCGAAGGACGUCCAAGAAAAGCUUCUAGGGUUGAAGGCAUGUGACCGUACUAAAACUGACACAGGUAGGCGGGACGAGAAGUCCUAGGCGCUCGGGAGAACACUGGUUAAGGAACUCUGCAAAAUGGCCCCGUAAGUUCGCGAUAAGGGGUACCCUCCGUGGUUUAUAGCUUUGGAGGGUCACAGUAAAUCGGCAUCAGCAACUGUUUAUCAAAAACACAGGACUCUGCGAACUCGCAAGAGGAGGUAUAGAGUCUGACGCCUGCCCGGUGUUGGUAGGUUAAGGAAGAGGGUUAGCCGCAAGGUGAAGCCCGCGACCGAAGCCCCAAUAAACGGCGGCCGUAACUAUGACGGUCCUAAGGUAGCGAAGUUCCUUGUCGGGUAAGUUCCGACCUGCAUGAAUGGCGUAAUGACUGAUGCACUGUCUCAACCAGUGACCCGGUGAAAUUGUAGCCGUGGUGAAGAUGCCACGUACCCGCAGUGUGACGGAAAGACCCCGUGAACCUUCACUGUAGGCUGAUAUUGGUCUCGGACGUGUUCUGUGUAGGAUAGGUGGGAGGCUGCGAAGUGGUGGCGCUAGCCAUCAUGGAGCCAACGUUGAAAUACCACCCUGGAUUCGUUUGAGUUCUAACCCUGAUUCCCGUGAAACCGGGCAGGGGACAGUGUCAGUUGGGCAGUUUGACUGGGGCGGUCUCCUCCAAAAGAGUAACGGAGGAGUUCAAAGGUACCCUCAGCCUGGUUGGCAAUCAGGCAUCGAGCGCAAAGGUAGAAGGGUGCUUGACUGCGAGACUCAUAAGUCGAGCAGAUACGAAAGUAGGACUUAGUGAUCCGGUGGUUCCGAAUGGAAGGGCCAUCGCUCAUCAGAUAAAAGGUACUCCGGGGAUAACAGGCUUAUCGCUUCCGAGCGUCCAUAGCGGCGAAGCGGUUUGGCACCUCGAUGUCGGCUCAUCACAUCCUGGGGGUGGAGAAGCUCCCAAGGGUUUGGCUGUUCGCCAAUGACUGUCAAUAUCGUGACUGGGAAAC
RNAcentral lists this ribosomal RNA (2346 nucleotides) under freshwater metagenome. Its description in RNAcentral is "bacterial LSU rRNA". It matches the Rfam family "Bacterial large subunit ribosomal RNA", at positions 285 to 2613 of the family's 2925-position model. The record is from RNAcentral.